RNAcentral lists this ribosomal RNA (503 nucleotides) under uncultured bacterium. RNAcentral describes it as "partial 16S ribosomal RNA". It matches the Rfam family "Bacterial small subunit ribosomal RNA", at positions 30 to 523 of the family's 1533-position model. The record is from RNAcentral.
AUUGAACGCUGGCGGCGGGCUUAACACAUGCAAGUCGAGCGGGGUGAUGGUGCUUGCACUAUCACUUAGCGGCGGACGGGUGAGUAAUGCUUAGGAAUCUGCCUAUUAGUGGGGGACAACAUCUCGAAAGGGAUGCUAAUACCGCACACGUCCUACGGGAGAAAGCAGGGGAUCACUUGUGACCUUGCGCUAAUAGAUGAGCCUAAGUCGGAUUAGCUAGUUGGUGGGGUAAAGGCCUACCAAGGCGACGAUCUGUAGCGGGUCUGAGAGGAUGAUCCGCCACACUGGGACUGAGACACGGCCCAGACUCCUACGGGAGGCAGCAGUGGGGAAUAUUGGACAAUGGGGGGAACCCUGAUCCAGCCAUGCCGCGUGUGUGAAGAAGGCCUUAUGGUUGUAAAGCACUUUAAGCGAGGAGGAGGCUCUUUUGGUUAAUACCCAAGAUGAGUGGACGUUACUCGCAGAAUAAGCACCGGCUAACUCUGUGCCAGCCGCCGCAGUAA